This 405-nucleotide unclassified non-coding RNA is filed under the name soil metagenome. RNAcentral describes it as "partial contains 5.8S ribosomal RNA, internal transcribed spacer 2, and large subunit ribosomal RNA". The stretch from base 1 to 121 matches the Rfam family "5.8S ribosomal RNA", at positions 35 to 154 of the family's 154-position model. The record is from RNAcentral.
GAUGAAGAACGCAGCGAAAUGCGAUAAGUAAUGUGAAUUGCAGAAUUCAGUGAAUCAUCGAAUCUUUGAACGCACCUUGCGCCCUUUGGCUAUUCCAGAGGGCAUGCCUGUUUGAGUAUCAUGAACACCUCAACUCUCAUGGUUCUGCCAUGAUGAGCUUGGACUUUGGAGGUCUUGCUGGCCCCUGUGGUCAGCUCCUCUCAAAUGGAUCAGCUUGCCAGUGUUUGGUGGCAUCACAGGUGUGAUAACUAUCUACGCUUGUGGUUUUCCACCAGGUAACCUUCAGUGAUGGAGGUUCGCUGGAGCUCAUAAACGUCUCUCCUCAGCGAGGACAGCUUCUUGAAUGUUUGAUCUCAAAUCAGGUAGGGCUACCCGCUGAACUUAAGCAUAUCAAUAAGCGGAGGA